Molecule: long non-coding RNA, 360 nt
Organism: Coregonus clupeaformis (lake whitefish)
Lineage: Eukaryota; Metazoa; Chordata; Actinopteri; Salmoniformes; Salmonidae
Exons: 3
Source: RefSeq, a predicted model, not a curated record
AGAUGUCCAAAAAUUUGUCAGAAUAACUGAGCCAAAUCUGAAAGACUUUUUGAUUGCAGCAUUUGCAAAGUUUGGUGUCCCAGCUGUAACAGAAGAAUCUGUCUCCAUGGUGGCCUCUUCUGAGCAAUCCCAACCAUCAUCCCUUGAUACCUUGGACUCUGAGGAUACAGUCAUUAUUUCAGAUAGCCCCUCCAGAAACGCCAGAGGCUGGAUACAGAAGCCAAGCAAGUAAGACAAUUCUGACAUUUUAAAUUCUGUUCUUGAAUCUGUUCUCAGAGAAUUAAAAUUACAUUAAUAUACAUUGUAAAUUACAUGGUUUCAAAACAUUUUUGAAGUCCUGAUUAGGGAUGUCCCGAUCAA